UACGUAGGUGACAAGCGUUGUCCGGAUUUACUGGGCGUAAAGGGCGCGUAGGCGGUUCUUUAAGUCAGGCGUGAAAGCCCUGGGCUCAACCUGGGAGUGGCGCUUGAUACUGGAGGACUAGAGAGUGGGAGAGGUUGGUGGAAUUCCCAGUGUAGAGGUGAAAUUCGUAGAUAUUGGGAAGAACACCGGUGGCGAAGGCGGCCAACUGGACCAUUUCUGACGCUGAGGCGCGAAAGCGUGGGGAGCAAACAGG
This 253-nucleotide ribosomal RNA is filed under the name uncultured bacterium. Its description in RNAcentral is "partial 16S ribosomal RNA". It matches the Rfam family "Bacterial small subunit ribosomal RNA", at positions 524 to 776 of the family's 1533-position model. The record is from RNAcentral.